UACGAAGGGGGCUAGCGUUGCUCGGAAUCACUGGGCGUAAAGGGUGCGUAGGCGGGUUUUUAAGUCAGGGGUGAAAUCCUGGAGCUCAACUCCAGAACUGCCUUUGAUACUGAAGAUCUUGAGUCCGGGAGAGGUGAGUGGAACUGCGAGUGUAGAGGUGAAAUUCGUAGAUAUUCGCAAGAGCACCAGUGGCGAAGGCGGCUCACUGGCCCGGUACUGACGCUGAGGCACGAAAGCGUGGGGAGCAAACAGG
Molecule: ribosomal RNA, 253 nt
Filed under: uncultured bacterium
Lineage: Bacteria
Description: partial 16S ribosomal RNA
Rfam family: Bacterial small subunit ribosomal RNA
Source: RNAcentral